This 81-nucleotide small RNA is filed under the name Mariniflexile fucanivorans. RNAcentral describes it as "Flavo-1 RNA". It matches the Rfam family "Flavo-1 RNA". The record is from Rfam by way of RNAcentral. Lineage: Bacteria; Pseudomonadati; Bacteroidota; Flavobacteriia; Flavobacteriales; Flavobacteriaceae.
GGAUAGUGCGUGAGGGAUAGCAGUGAAAAUCCUUUUUAUGAGGCACGAAUAAAAAGAUUGCAACGGAUAGCCCGACCCUUU